GAAAACCUGGAAUGUUCGACAAAUUCCGUAUUUUUGAACCUACAGAACUUUAAACGGGAUUCCUAUAUCUCUGUAAUAUGUCAGGCCUCCUUUUUUGCAGGGGAAGACAGAAAAGCAGAUGCGGUCGCCCACCUGGCUGCGGCUAGGAGUCAAAAAACGGAAACCGGCAUCCCGGGGAAUUA
This 182-nucleotide non-coding RNA is filed under the name Candidatus Bariatricus faecipullorum. Its description in RNAcentral is "6S RNA". It matches the Rfam family "6S / SsrS RNA". From Rfam's summary of the family: E. coli 6S RNA was the first non coding RNA to be sequenced, but its function was unknown until recently. Lineage: Bacteria; Bacillati; Bacillota; Clostridia; Lachnospirales; Lachnospiraceae. The record is from RNAcentral.